Molecule: ribosomal RNA, 502 nt
Filed under: uncultured bacterium
Lineage: Bacteria
Description: partial 16S ribosomal RNA
Rfam family: Bacterial small subunit ribosomal RNA
Source: RNAcentral
AUUGAACGAUGGCGGCAUGCCUUACACAUGCAAGUCGAACGGCAGCAUGGGUGCUUGCACCUGAUGGCGAGUGGCGAACGGGUGAGUAAUGCAUCGGAACGUACCCGGAAAUGGGAGAUUACGUAGCGAAAGUUACGCUAAUACCGCAUAUUCUGCGAGCAGGAAAGCGGGGGAUCGCAAGACCUCGCGCUUCCGGAGCGGCCGAUGUCGGAUUAGCUAGUUGGCGGGGUAAAGGCCCACCAAGGCAACGAUCCGUAGCGGGUCUGAGAGGAUGAUCCGCCACACUGGGACUGAGACACGGCCCAGACUCCUACGGGAGGCAGCAGUGGGGAAUUUUGGACAAUGGGGGCAGCCCUGAUCCAGCCAUGCCGCGUGAGUGAAGAAGGCCUUCGGGUUGUAAAGCUCUUUCGGCUGGGAAGAAAGCGCAUCUCCUAAUACGGGGUGUGGAUGACGGUACCAGCAUAAGAAGCACCGGCUAACUACGUGCCAGCAGCCGCGGUAA